RNAcentral lists this ribosomal RNA (468 nucleotides) under uncultured bacterium. RNAcentral describes it as "partial 16S ribosomal RNA". It matches the Rfam family "Bacterial small subunit ribosomal RNA", at positions 28 to 507 of the family's 1533-position model. The record is from RNAcentral.
GACGAACGCUGGCGGCGUGCUUAACACAUGCAAGUCGAACGGAAAGGCCCUGCUUUUGUGGGGUGCUCGAGUGGCGAACGGGUGAGUAACACGUGAGUAACCUGCCCUUGACUUUGGGAUAACUUCAGGAAACUGGGGCUAAUACCGGAUAGGAGCUCCUGCUGCAGGGUGGGGGUUGGAAAGUUUAGGCGGUUGGGAAUGGACUCGCGGCCUAUCAGCUUGUUGGUGUGGUAGUGGCUUACCAAGGCCUGGACGGGUAGCAGGCCUGAGAGGGUGACCGGCCACAUUGGGACUGAGAUACGGCCCAGACUACUACGGGACGCAGCAGUGGGGAAUAUAGUACAAUGGGAGGAGCGCUGAUGCAGCCACGCCACGUGCGGGAUGACGGCCAUCGGGUUGUAAACCGCUUUCGCCUUUGACGAAGCGUGAGUGACAGUAAUGGGUGAAGAAGCACCGGCUAACUACGUG